RNAcentral lists this microRNA (20 nucleotides) under Cucumis sativus (cucumber). Its description in RNAcentral is "cst-miR11335". Lineage: Eukaryota; Viridiplantae; Streptophyta; Magnoliopsida; Cucurbitales; Cucurbitaceae. The record is from miRBase by way of RNAcentral.
GUUGGGAGGAUGGAGCGGUU